Molecule: long non-coding RNA, 15282 nt
Filed under: Marmota monax (woodchuck)
Lineage: Eukaryota; Metazoa; Chordata; Mammalia; Rodentia; Sciuridae
Source: RNAcentral
GCGGAGCUAAGGGGGCGGCGCCUGCCUGUGCAGCCCGCUCGCUGGCGCGUGGCUCUCACAAUGUUAAAGAAGUUUGAGUUUAAGGUGGACUUAGAGAUCGAGGCGCUCUCUUCUGUACCCUACGUCAAUGGAAUCCUCUUCUGCAAGAUGGGGCUGCUAGACAGCAGCAGCUUCACCAGGGAGUCCUCCAGGUAAGGCGCCCUCCGGGCCUCCUGCUCCUCCUUAGCUGCCACGCCCCCUGCGCAGCCUUGGCUGGUUCUUGGACAGCAUCCCUUUGUCCAGCCCGACAGCCAGCCUCCUGAACUCGCUGUCCUCCAGAGACCGGUCUGAAACCAGUCAGGAAUGUAUGGAUCAGCACAAAGUGCUUCGCAAAUGGGUUUAUCUAGGCUGGCCUUGGCUUCUACGUUCCUGGCUCCAAAUGGUUCCUGGUGACAGCUCUUUCCUCCCAAUUCUCUAGGAAUGGGAGAGAUGGCCAAAGGGAGAGAGAGGAUGCUUCUUGUUUUCCUUAAGAAGCAUCAAGUGCUUCUUACAAAGUGGAAUUGGAACUGUUGUUUAAAAAAAAUGACCCCGGCUGCUCGAGUUCCGAGAAUCUGCGCUGAACAGCCUGUGCUUGGUGUCACUUUUCUUUCUGGUGGGCUAGGAGGGAUUUUUGCACGCCCAGAUUGAGGCUGAGGUAGGCCAGGUCAGCCUUAAUUUAAGGCAAGUGUUCCUAGCAGAUGAGGCAACAGUCCAUGAGACUGUAGAUUGCACCUCCAGCUCCAAGCUAAUGCUCAUCAAAUUACCUGUCUUGAAGUGACCACUGUGAGUCUCAAUGUGCGGGACUUAGAACCAGGAGGGAAGCCCAAACUCUGUGCUCAUUUUGAAAUGAGCCUCUCCCUGUGUGCCCUGUGCACUCUCUGGGAGAGACAUUAGUAGGUCCCAGAAUGCAGCCAGGUGUGGCAAUGUUCCUUGAGUAAUUUCAGCGUUAUUCACAGAUUGAUAGAUUUGCCCUAGGGUGUUUUUUCUUUUCAAGAAAAUAGAAAACAACAACAAAAAAAAGUUUAUAACUGAAUUUUUGAGUUCUUGAGGUCAAAGAGAAGGGUUAAUAAUCUUUGUUUAACCCACAUUUAGUGGUCACAAACUUUAUUUUUACACUAAAACUAUUGUACUUUCUUUUUUAUCUGUCAUCCCAUUAAAAUUGUAAAGGAAAUAAUGUCAAUGGAUUGUGGAAUUGGAGCCAGAAAAUUGUCCAUUGUGGUAAUAUUGAAGUCUAUGGGAGCCCGAUAAUGUCUGGUUGGAUAAACCAAAGGAUGUGUAAAGCACUAUAUUGAUUCUCAAAAUUAAUAAAUAGUCCACUGAGGAUAAUUUUAAAAAUUAAAUUUUGGUAACAAAUCUGAGGAUAUUCAGCUAAUUAAUUAUAGUACAUAAUUUUUAGCACACCUGUAAAAGAAUACUGAAAUACUAUAAUAUUUCAAAUAAUAUGUGUGUGUGUGUGUGUGUGUGUGUGUGUAAUACCAGCUCCCAAGGUAGGGAAAAGCCUAUAUCAAUUCCGAAUGUACUGUAUGUGAAAGUGACAGUCUUGUUUUGCUGCUAGGUUCUACCCCCUGCCUGGAGCAGUUAGGUGAAUACUCCUGGCCCAAUGGUGACACCUGGUGGUCAGGACACUUGUUGGCUACCUUCUUAAGUCAGUUAUUUAGUCAUUGCAGGCAAACAUGUCCACUAGGCUUUUUGAAUAUUAUUAUUAUUAUUAUUAUUAUUAUUAUUAUUUUGGUACCGGAGCUUGAACUCAGGAGUACUGGACCACUGAGCCACAUCCCCAGCCCUAUUUUGUAUUUUAUAUUUAUAGACAGGGUCUGGCUGAAUUGCUUAGCGCCUCACCAUUGCUGAGGCUGGCUUUGAACUCACAAUCCUCCUGAAAUAUACUAUCCUAUUUAAUUCUCACAGCAAGCCUAGGGAUCCACAUUUUGUGAAUAAAUGAUUCAAAGUCUCCACAGAUGUUAUGUGUAAUGCCGAGAUUCUGAUACAGGUGUAAUGUCAAACAGGGUGAUGCCAGAUAAAGGGGGAAAGUGUGUUCUGUGCUGAAGUGUUUCUAAAUAGGCAACUUCCUAAUGGUUUUAAGGUGCAGUAGGUAUCAUUUGAUUUGUCCUCUGCAAGACUUGGAAAUGAAAAACUAUCCUGUGAUAAGCUUCACCCUUUCUCUUCCAACUAAAAUCUGGCUUUAAUCAAGGUAAACACAGGUAAAGUAAGCAUAUUGCUUGAUUUUUUGUUCAUUUUUUUACCUUUUAGGCUGAGCAGAGAAUGAGAAAAGUCUGAUUCUUGAUUUAUUUCCCCCUUGUUCCUCAAUUCUUUUAAAAAUUUAAUUUUUUUUUUCAGAAUAUUAUGUAGUUGGAAUCGAACAGUUUGGAGCCCUUUCAGACUGGUGUCUUUUGCUUAGUAAUGUGCAUCUAAGCUUCCUCCAUGUCUUUUCAUGGCUUCCUAACUUUUUUUAGUGCUUAAUAAUAUUCUGUUAUCUAGAAUUCAAUUCAUUUGUUUUCAUCAGAACAUCUUUAUUGCUUUCAAGUUUGGGCAGUUAUGAGUAAAGAAGCUAUAAACAUGCAUAGUUAGGGUUUUAUAUGGAUAUGUUUUCAAUUCACUGGAUUAAAUACCAGAGAACAUGACUGCUGGACCACAUGGUGAAAAUGUAGUCCAUGCUUUAUAAAGGUGAAUGGUUCACUGGAGGCCAAUAAUUAAUAUUCUGCUUUGUAAACAUGUAACUUAAGGUCAAAAAAGUUAAAUGACUUACUCAAGUAUUAUACUAGUAAUAAGUGAUAGAGCAGGUCUAAACUUUGGGUUUUCUCCCUACUGGUCCAAGACUUUUUACUGUCUUAUGUGGCUUCCUCAUUACAUGACAGAGAAAAAGUUUAGAUUUCUUACCCAGAGGUCUAAGUCUAAAAUUAUCACACAGCUCAAAAAAGACUGCAGUAAUGUCAUACCUAGAACUGGGUGGGGAAAAAGGUACAAGCUAGAAAAGUAUAAUAUUUUAAGACCUUCAAGAGUGAUGAGGAUAUUAAAGUUUCAAAUAAACCCAAGUGUUUUAUUUAUGUUUAAAACUUGUUAAGUCGAUAGUGAAAUAGCAACUUACAGGAGGAAUGAAAAUACUUACAAAUCCCAUAUCCCAUAGGGUUUAAUAUCCGGAGUUGGGCUGGGUUUGUGGAUCAGUGGGAGGGCACUUGCCUAGCAUGUGUGAGGCACUGGGUUCAAUUUUAAGCACCACGUAGAAAAAUAAAUAAAAUAAAGUUAUUAUGUCCAAUUAUAACUAAAAAUGUUUUUUUAAAAAAUACCCAAAGUAAUGGGCUGGGGUUGUAGCUCAGCGGUAGAGUGCUUGCCUAUCAUGUGUGAGGCCCUGCAUCACAUAAAAAUAAAUAAGUAAAAUUAAGGUAUGUGUCGAACUACAACUAAAAAAUAAUUUUUUUAAAAAUCCAAAGUAAAUAAAGAACUCCUUCAACUCAACAACAAUAAAUUUUGAUUAACAAAUGGGCAAAGGAUUUCUCCAAAGAAGUUGCACAAAUGACCAAUAAGCACAAGAUGUACAGCAUCACUUAUCAUUAGGGAAAUGAAAAUCAAAACUACAAUUAGGUUACCAACAAUAAAAAUUAAAAAAAAAAAAAACAACUACAAUUAGGAACCACCUCACACCCAUUAGGAUUGGCUACUAUUCAAAAAUAAUAAUAAUAAUAACAAAUGUUGACAAGGGAAUGGAAAAAUAGGAACCUUCUUGUGUUGUUGGUCGGGUAAUAUAAAAUAGUGCAGCCACUAUGGAAAACAGUAUGGCAGUUGAUGAAGAAACUUAAUAAGCAAUUCCACUUUGGGGUAUAAGUACCCAAAAGAAUUGAUAACAAAAACCAAACAGGUAUUUGGACACCCAUGCUCCUAGCAUUAUUUGCAGUAGCCAAAGGUGUAAGUAUUUUAAGUGUCCAUCAAAGGUUGAAUGGAUAAACAAAAUUUGGCAUACACACAUAGAGUAGAAUAGUAUUCAUCCUUAAAAAGGAAGGGAAUUCUGAUACAUCAUUAAUGACAUUUAAGGAUAUGUUGCUAUGUGAACUAAGGACAAAUACUGUGUAAUUCUACUUAACAUUAGUUAAUCUGACCCAGAGUAGUAAGAUUCAUAGAGAAAGAAAGUUAGAUUGGUGAUUGCCAGGGAAUGAAUAGUGGAAUAGGGAGUUGCUUAAUGGAAAUGGAGUUUUGGUUUUGUAAGAUAAAGAGUUCUGAAGAUUGGGCACACAACUGCGUGACUGUAAUUAAGCCACUGAUCUGAACUGUACACUUAAAAAUGGUUGUGAUGGAGAGUGUUAUGUGUAUUCUACCAUUAAUUUAAAAAAUGAGUAAAUAUUUUGACCAAGCUCCAUAUUUUUAUAAGGCUAACUUAUGUGUUAUUAUAUUCAAGUAAACUACAUGAGUGUUAAAAAGAAUUUUCUUUUGAUGAGUCCAGUCAGUCACUCUAAUAACUAAUAUGAUUUAGUAGACAUAUAGCUUAGGAUUAUACAGUGAUUAAUUUUUAUUUGACAUUUUUGGAAAGUUCCUCCAUCAUAGUAUAACUGUUUAACUCUGAGGCAUUGCCAAGUUGUUUUUCAAGAGGCUGCACUAGGAAAAGGUUUCUUGACAGAAACAUGAGUGCAAGCAAAUGUCUUCAGAUUGGCUGGGUUUUGGGGGCUCAGGGUUCUACAAAAUUUAGAUUUCAAUACAAGGUCAUGGUAAAACAUGUGAAUUUCAAUGCCAGGACUCUGAUGAUACAAGAGGGGAACAUGGAAGGUGCCUACAGGACCCUCAGCAGAAUCCUCACCAUGGAUGGGCACUGAGGACAUGAAGCUAUAGUGGUGCUGUGAUGUGCCUGGCCUUCUGUGAAGACAGGGAAACUAUGAAACUGCUGGUGGAUCUGCAAAGUGAAAAUGGCUCCAAAAAUCAAUUUCUUUUUUAUCACUCCCCAGUACGGGGACUGGAACCCAGGAGCAUUCUACCUCUGAACUGCAUCCCCAACCCCUUUUACAAACUUUAUUUUGAGACAGGGUCUUGCUAAGCUGCCCAGGUUUUUCUGUUUUUGUUUUUUUUUUUCUUUUUUUUCAGCACUCGGGAUUGAACUCAGGUGCGCUCAACCACCAAGUCUCAUCCCCAGCCUUUUUUUUUUUUUUUGUAUUUUAUUUAGAGACAAGGUCUCACUGAGUUGCUUAGCCCCUUGCUUUUGCUGAGGCUGGAUUUGAAUUUGCAAUCCUCCUGCCUCAGCCUCCCAGGCUGGUGGGAUUACAGGCAUGUGCCACAGCACCAGGUGGAAGGACAAUUUCUUGAUGUGAAAUAAUCAGGCAGAUCUGUGGCAGGGCUGCUUAAGCCUGUGGAUAGAGAUCCAUAUGUUUAGUUUUUGUCUCCACCUCUUUUUUCCCCUAUUUUCUGUUACCUGUCCUUACAAUACACUCAAUCAUGUAUGUGCAGCAAGGCCUGUAAAUAUAGACAUCACCCAUUAUUAAGUGGUGGACCUCUCUUACUAAGUGAAAAAGAAACAGUCCAAAAGUACUCUAGGAGUAGAGUGGAGGUUGCCAGGGACUGGGAGUUAUCUUUAUUAAGGGUGAAAAGUUGCAAUUUGCCAAGAUGGAAAUGUUCUGAAGAUGGUUGGUGGUUAUGGUUGUACAACUGUGAAUGUACCCAAUGUCAUGAAACUGUAGAAUUCUAGUUAAAUAUUAAAUUUUGUGAGUAUUUUACUAAUACACACACACACACAUAUAUGUGUGUGUGUGUGUAUUAAAUAAGUCUGAUUCAGAAAGUCAAGGUUGAAUGUUUUCUCUCAUAGAAGGAAGCUUGACCAAAGAAAGGGGAAAAAGUGGGGGAGGAAUCCUGUGAAAAUAGAAGGGAGAUCAGUGGAGCAAAGGAUGGGGAGGGAGGAGGAAUGGGAAAGGAGAGGAACAAUGGAAUGAAAUUGACCAAAUUAUGCUAUGUACAUGUGAAUGCACCACAGUGAAUUUGACCUUUAUGUUUAUAUAUAAAGAACUAAAAUUUAAAAUUAUAAAUAAAUAGAAGGAAGACCAUUAGAGUAGAAGGGAAAUAGGAGGAGGGAGAAGGAGAGGAAAAAGGGAAGUACUGGGGACUGAAGUGGAGCAAAUUUUAUUCCAUGAUAUAUAAUUAUGUCAAAAUGAGCCCCACUAUUAUGUGUAACUAUAAUAUACUAAUAAAACAUUCAGAAGUAAACACAUAUGCUGUGUUGAUGAAGAUUUACUACUGAUAUACCACUCUUUAAAAUGCCUUUUUUUAAAUUGAUUUUUUUAUAGGACAGCGGAAUACAUUACAAUUCAUAUUACACUUACAGAGAAAAUUUUCAUAUCUCUUGUUGUAUAUAAAAUAUAUUUACACCAAUUUGUGUUUUCAUACAUGUACUUUGGAUAAUGAUAUGCAAACAUAAGUCAAAUGUUAUUCAAGUCAAAAUGUCUGACUUUCUGUGAUCUCAUUUUUCCCUUUUCUGGUUGAAUCCUAUCACUCCUAUUUCAAAACUUAGCUUACAUACCACUUUUUCUAAGUAGUGUUUUCUAAUUUCUCAGCUAGAAUUAACAGUUCCAUUUUUUUCUUUGAAAUUACACUUAACCAGUAAGGGGGAAGAGCAUAUGACUCAGUAAAUCCCAAAGGUAUAUAUGCUAGAGAAAUGAAAAUAAAAUGUUCACAUAGUCACAGUUGACAUGUUUGUCUCCAACACUGGAACAUCGGCUUGAAAGGAGUGUUGUCUUGUAUAUCUAAGGAUUCUGGUUUCCUGAGUACUCAGAAGCCUGGAAUCAAAAAGAUGAUCAAUAAAAAGCUGGUUGCACUACUUUUAUUAAUUGCAAUAAAUGCAGUAGCAAAUGAAGUAAAUGCAAAUGCAUUUAAAAAGAUUUUCUUUCAGUCUUCUUAUUAGUAAAGGUAAAUGCACAAAUGUGAUUAUGAGGUGGUAAUUAGAAAACUAUGUCUAUAUUUCAAUGUCUAUAUCAUAGAUAUAUAGAUAUAGUAUCUAUAUAGCUAUAUAAUUUUAUGUAUCUAAUAUAUAUGUGUGUGUGUGCCGCAGUCCGGCUGCAGCAAAAUAACCGGGGGGCAACGAGCAACUUGUGUAGAUUGAUACAGCUGGAGUGGGAGCCGUUUAUUGUAGGACAGGAGUGGUAUAUAUACAUUCCACACAGCUUAUCUUAAUUAACAUAAACUAGAUACAGCAGUCAACCAAUAAGGAAUCUCCACACUUAAUGGCUCCCUGGCGUUACUUCACAAACCACUCCCUCUGGCAAAAUGCCAGGCACCAUCCAGACUUGUUUACAGACUCUAACAUUUGUCAGGUGCCAUCCAGACUUGUUUACAGACUCUAACAUUUGUCAGGCUCCAUCCUGACUUUUUUACAGACCCUAACAUUUCCCCCUUUUGUUUAAUUUAAAUAACCAGCAUAGUGGUUUUUACACAAACACCAUAAAUAAUCUGCUACAAGCAGAAGGGGAGGAUACAAAAUGCCACAAUACCAAGCCAAUUGAUGGCUCCAUGCAAGAAGCCCUUGGAAAAAUUAUACCAGCAAUGACACCAUUAGCAAAGAUACCGAGUUACAAUUUGUUGUAGAUUACAGUUUGUUGUCUCAGUCCAGGUAAAGUAGUGUCUCAAUAGAUUAACUCACAGUCCAGGUAAAUCAAAGUCCAGGUAAGUUCUGCAGGCAGCUAGCUUAAAUCACAGUCCAGGUAAGUGCUGCAGGCAUCUAGCUUGAUCCAAAGUCUUGUCCGGUUCUCUUCCACCUUCGUCUUCACUGGCACUGGGACGAAGGCAGGAACUCCGGAUGGCUAAAGAAAAUCCUGUAGUAUUCCAGCAGACACUAAGAAAACAAUCUUCUGAACAAUUUAGUACAUUAUCUCAAGGUUUUUUACAUUUGAAAUAAGCCUUAAUAGUGCUCAUUACUCAUUAGCUUCCAGGUGUGGGAGAACCACUGUAGUUACCGGCCUUGGAAAUAAUCAAACUUCAGGGACACGGGCCAUCUUCCAUUUGCAGCAUCUCUGACAGCCCCAGAUGGCCCCAGAGAGAGUCCGGGGAGUGUCCCGGGCAGAGGCCCGGGGAGAGUCCCAGGGAGCGUCCCGGACUCAAACUGUCACUGGGCACAGGGAACAAGAGCCUGAGAGACUGUGCCUCCAGGUCAGGUUUGGAUUUGGGCUCUCGAAAUGGCAUCCCACUCCCCAGGCAGGGGGUAGGGAAGAGCCGGCUGCUGCUGUUUGGAAAGUCCUUGCUGCGCCAUGACCGGCUCACGCAUGUGGCAGUGGCCGCCGCUGCCGAUUGAUGUACCCUCCCGUAAUGAAAAGUAUUUAGUAGUAGCCUUUUGCAAUUUCUUUCUUGAUAAUCUUUCCUCCUCUGAACUUUUUUAUUCUUUCUGAUUAGAGUUCCUGGGAUUCUAUCAACACAUGCCCUAACUAUUCUUGGUUCCAUUGGGGUGCCUCUUUCCCUUAGUAAUUUACUUCUCACCCCUUCCAUAUUUUCAUCAUAAAGACAAUACAAUACACUGAGACAAAACAAGACACAAACAUACUGUAUCAAUCUUCUCCAUUUUCUCGAAAUGGCCAUUUUUCCUCUUGCCCUAUCUGCCUAGGGACAAGCAGAUUUGCUCCUGUCCUAUCUAUGGAUGGGCAGCUUUUUUUCAUCACUUACCCCCGAGUGUCCCGGGGCUCCCCAUACGGGCCACCAUCUGCCGCAGUCCGGCUGCAGCAAAAUAACCGGGGGGCGAUGAGCAACUUGUGUAGAUUGAUACAGCUGGAGUGGGAGCCGUUUAUUGUAGGACAGGAGUAGUAUAUACAUUCCACACAGCUUAUCUUAAUUAGCAUAAACUAGAUACAGCAGUCAACCAAUAAGGAAUCUUCACACUUAAUGGCUCCCUGGCGUUACUUCACAAACCACUCCCUCUGGCAAAAUGCCAGGCACCAUCCAGACUUGUUUAUAGACUCUAACAUUUGUCAGGUGCCAUCCUGACUCGUUUACAGACCCUAACAUGUGUGUGUGUGUGUGUGUGUGUGUGUGUAUAUGUAUAUAUAUAUAUAUAUAUAUAUAUAUAUAUAUAUAUAUGAUGCAGAUAUUUAAAAUUCAAGAAACUAGGUGGAAAAAUAUUCCAAAAAUUAAUUUUCUAGACUGAUGAACAUAAAUUUUAAAAAAUAUUCUCAGCUUCAAAUUAUUAUAAAACAAUGGAAAGAUUUCUUUUCUAGAAUCAAACCACACUGCAGAUUUAACAUUUACAAUAAUUUGUCUUUUUAAAAUUAUAACAAAAGUAAAACAAUGUGGUUAAACCUGAAGUCUAAUUGCAAAAUCGACAGUUCAAUUAUUUUCUUAAGAAGGUACUCAAGGCUUGUCAGUGACUCAAACUAAUUUGUUACAAGAAGAAUGAAUUUCAAAUUUCAAAAGGCUUAGUGCAGUGGAAAAGCUCUGUAUUUUACUGAAAAUAAAGAAAUUGGCAUGCAGUAAUCAUAUUAUUCUUGUCAAAACCAGGUUAACUAAACAGUUAAUGAAACCAUCCCCUGGUGAGUGGAAUGGUUGCUAGAGGCCUCCCCAUGGGUAAGAGGAGACACUGAACAAGAAGGAAGCCAGUGGAUCUCUCAGAGCAAUGAAAUUCUACCUGUCUCAGAACCCACUUAUGAUGGAACAGACCAUGUUCAGGUACACUCUGUUUACACAGUUUUAUAUAUUUUGUUAUUGCUACUAAAUUAGAAUAAGAUUUUAAAAUGUGCUUAGUAUGAAAAAUAAGAAAGCUAUCUUUGAAAACUAAAAGAAAGUGAGCAUGGAGUUGGGUGAGAAUGUACUUUUUCCUUCACAAUGAGGGGCUUUUGAGAGCAGGGAAGAAGAUAUGUCUCAUCCUCUCACUGUCUGAAGGCUCAACACGCACAAAAGCCAGAAGUGGGAUGGGGGAACUCCCAGUGUGUGUCUUUGGUGAUUUAUUCAGAAAGAAUUUUUAAAGAACUAUUAAGUGCCACACGAUAGAUGCUAUCAGUGGAAAGAAAAAAAAAUGCAUCUCCACUCUUAAGAAUAUCAGUGAAAAAUAAAUACAUGGACUAUAAAUAACACCUGUAGACUGUAGUGCAGUACCUUAAAUUUGGGGUCAGACAGACUUGGACUCUCAAACACUGACAUUGAAUUGUGAUCCCUAAUAGCUACCCAGCAUUCACACACCACUACAAGUUAAGGGAUCAUAAUGGAGUAAAUAAGAUGGUGUAAUGAUCCCCUGCCCAUCCCUGUUUAUCCAUACCCUAUGAUCAAUUGGUUGAUUCCUCUGUUAGUGAAUUUGCAAUCCAGAGGUGGCUUCUAUUAGCAUUACUCUAGUUUACAGUUUAGACUGAUACCACGUUUAACCCUUCUGACUUAAAAAUACAUGAACUUAGAAAGAUGAGUGAAACAAUGUGCCUGACUGUGAUAGCCCCAUGUAUGCUCAUGGUUAGUUGUUCUGAAAAUGGAAAAUGCAUUGCAAAGAACAUAGAAGCAAUUUAAAUCAAAGGUAGAGAAACCAGGUCAUGUCUCAAUCACAAGAGGGUGGUCUGUUUCCAUUUAUGCUGCACUUGUGGUGUGUGUAGGGUGCAGGGCAGUUGAGUUUGCCAGGCUGCCAUGCAGCCAUCUCUACAACCUGGUGAGGCUCAGACUCGCUUCUGUGCUGGAGCCAGGCCCAGGCUCUCAUUCCUACUACUCCUGACACCUCCUGACGUGCCUGUCUUCACACAGCUCUUCUGGCAGACUGAGCAGCUGCAGAUACUGGCGCUGAGUCCAUCAGAAGGUGCGGGCUGCCAAAGCACAGUUACAGGGAGGAGAGAGGCAGGGCAACCUCUGGCUGGCCUCUGACCUUUUCUGUGCUGAGCUCUAUUCCAGAGCCAGUGACCUGACAGAGCAGCGGCCCAGGCAACCAUCUUCUCCUCAUGUGAUCUCAUGAACCAGAGAUGCUUUUCCUCUACUCCCAACUCCCUUAAAAAAUCCUGACGUAUUUCUGAGCUUAAUUUGGCAAACAUUUGUGUCUGGGGAUGCGGGGGGCCCCGGACCCAGCACUUGCAGCUCUUCACCCAGGUACCUGUCCGUGUGCUGUCUAGUCAAGCUGCAGCUCUUGAAGGUUGUUUCCCAUCCCCUGGAUUAUUCCUCCUCCAUCCUAAGAAACUCAAAUAAAUCAUCAGCCAAGAGGAGAUGGGAAGUUCAUAAUAAGAGAGCAGAAAAGAGUGAAAGGAAGUCUUUAAGCAUCACCCUGCCUCCAGAAAAGGAGGAGGAAUUGGAAGAUUUGAACUGCAAGUUAGAUUUAGAAACUUUUGCCCUUCAGUUUCUUUCCAAAUAAAAUGUGAUAAUCUCCAAAAGACCUUUUAUUGAAGUCAUAAUAACUAGGCUUUCUAUAACUAUGUCAUGAAUUAAUGAAAGAUUAAAUGUUUAAUUUGCUUUUAAAUCAUCAUUAGGUUUAUUAAUAUUAAAAUUACUCUGCUCAUGAAUACCUUUUAGAUGGUUUGCUGUGACACUGUGAACUAAGGGGAAAAAUGUUAUUUGCUAAUUACUUUAGAUGACAAUUCAAUAGAUCCUCACUUUUGUUUAAAAACAGAUAAAAUAAAACCAAGAAGAUGUUCAUGGGACUACACCAGCAUUUUGGAAACCUGAAGACAGAGGUGAGUGCAACUGGCCCCGUGGAACAACUCAUGAGAAGUCUGUGGGUUUCAUAGUAACUAUCAAUCCUGCUCUCUAGAAAAGCUGUGCCACCAACAGACAUGGCACAAGGAACCAGAGAAUGAGAAGCAAAGUUUCCUGAACAGCCCUCUGGGAGGAAACCCAUAGAUCACCCAUUGCUUUUAUUUAAAAAAAAAAUUUUUGGGGGGGAGUAAGGGUACCAGGGAUUGAACUCAGGGUCACUGAACCACUGAGCCACAUCCCAGCCCUUUUUUGUAUUUUAUUUAGAGACAGGAUCUCACUGAGUUGCUUAGCAUCUCACUUUUGCUGAGGCUGGCUUUGAACUCAGGAUCCUUUUGCCUCAACCUCCUGAGCUGAUGGGAUUACAGGAAUAUGUCACCAUGCCCAUAAUCACUCAUUGCUUUUAACCUUCUCUCAAGCCAUCCAAUGAUUAACAAAUAUUUUUCUGCAGCAAAGAGUUCCCAGGCACUGCAAAGCUGGCACAUCAAAGGGCCAGGGAUUCCAAUCUGCUCACCAUCACUACUUCCUAAUCACAUCACAUCACUACCUACCUAAUCACCAACUUGAAAUCCUGGGUCUCACCAGACACCCCUGAGCAUCUUCCCCUCUUGGUCUCCACACACCGCAGUCAGCACAUUUGCUUCCAAAUGCUUCACCUUUCUCCAAAGCCACCAAGAAGGGAAUCCAACUGCCUUGCGACUGCCAGCCUGUCUUCUUGAUCAUCUGUCCUCUACCCUCUGCCCUGUACUCUUUGUAGAAAGCAGAUCUGGUUGUGCUCUUCACUUGCUUGAAACUAACUUUAAAUCAGAGCUCAGACACCUGCAGCCUGAGAGCAUCCUGUCCUGCAGGGAGUCCCAGACCUGCACUGAGAACCCCUUGGUGAGCCUUCAGAUAUGUCCUUUCCUAAACUCAUUCUAAGGCCAAUAAAUGUGGAUGUCUGGGGGCGAGAUCCAGGCACUAAGAACUUCCCAGGUGACUCUAGGGACAGCCAAGAUUCCACAGUUCUGUUCGCUGGUCAGAUGACUGAAAAAUGAGCACAAGUGUGGGAAAGUGUCUCUCCUCAGCAUGUGGCCUUUGUUUUCCUCUUCCACCACCAUCCACUGCCACCAGAAAUCCAUGCACAUCAUUGAAACAUUGAUUAUUAAUUUUCUCAUGUUUCAAAAGAUAUCAGAUGCCAAAGAUCCAAUUGCCCAUAACUCACAUUGAUAACACACUUACAUUGUCCAUACUAGCCUGCUUUUAUUAAGUUUUUAGUUAUUUCUCAUAAACCUACCUUGAAAAUUCAAGUGUAACAACUUUCAUGGAAGUAUAUGCUUUCCCCUGCCUCCUUUCACCUUUAGGAGUUCUUAUUCUCUCACUUUCUUUGAAGUUUUAUUGCAGCUGUUAGUAUUCCUAACAUUAUAUGUGUAUGUGUAUGUGUUUGUGUGUGUGUGUGUACAAAUGCAUAUAAAUGUAUAACAUUUUAGUGAUCCUUUAAUUUAACAAAAAUAUUCUGUUGAAUGUAUCUGCAUUCUGUGUAGUCUGGGAAGAGAUUAAGGAGAGAGGGAAUGGGAGAGAGAUUAGUUUUGAUGUGUUGUUUCAUAUUAUGGGAGCAGACCAUCUGAAAUCCAUGGCACUUGUGAGCAGGCUGGAAAUUUAGGAAAAAGUAGAUGCUGCAAUCUCGAGUCAAUUCCAUAAGUUAGCAGGUUGAAAACUCAGGUGAGUCUUCUAUGUUUCAGCCUUGAGAAUAAUCCUUUCUGCUUUAGGAACCUCAGUUCUUGCUCUUCAGGUUGUCAACUGAUUAGAUGAGGCCCACCUACACUAUAAAGUGUGGCCUAUGUUACUCAAAGUCAAUGAUAAUCACAGCUAAGAAGUAUUUUUCCACAUCUAGACUGAUGCUUAACCAAACAACUGGGGACCAUAACCUUGCCAGCUGGACACAUAAAAAUAGCCAUCAAAGAGUGGUGGUCCUUAAACUCACCCACUGUGCUCACUGGUUUUGACUAGAGUCAGCCUGUGGAUGUACCUGGUUGCCUUGCUCACUCUCUUGCUUAUGCACUUUUGAGAGGUCUCCAGGUUUUUGCUGCUCUGAACCUCAUUGCUACGAGCUUCAGGCACAGGCCUCCCUUGUGUGGGAUUGUCCCUGGUAUAUGUGCUGGGAAUGUGGCUGCUGGUCACAGGGCAUAUGAGAGGUCAGCCCAGGGAUCACACCCAGCUCUCUUCCUAGAAGCAGCAACAGUUGCUACAAGUGUCGAUCACAUGUGAGAUGCCCUUGGUCUAGUCUCCUUGGAGGUGUCCAGGCACUUUCUCACGGUCUCUUAGCUGUUGGUAAUAAAACCUUCAGAAGCUAUUUCAUUAUGAGGUCUAUAUUUAUUGUUAUUGAUAAUGUUACAUUCCUUUUCUGUGUUUGAUAGUCAUUUGUAUUCCUUUGUAAAAUUUAUGGUCAUAUAUUUUGGUCAUUUUUAAAUAGAUUAAUUAUAUUUUUCUUACCAAUUUGUCGGUUAUCUUUACAUAUUUUUAAUUUUCAAGUGUGUUAAUUAUAUUGAAACUCUAUUAUAUUGAAAAUAUAUUCUUAAAUUUCUAAAAUUUUUAGCUUAAGACAUCAUUUUUCACCUGGAUAAUCAAGCAUUGAUUACAUUAUUCUUGUAUCCAUUAUUUACAAAUGUAAAUGACAGUGUGUCUCUUAGUUGCUUUGGGUAUAUGGGAAAAAUUAAUCCUUGUGAAAAUAUUAUUAACAAUCACACAAAAUUGAGUACUACUUAAGUCAAACUUCAGCAAUAUGGUAAAAACUACUUAUCUUUACAUUCAAAGAAAAAUGCAUGAACUUCCUAUAACAAUAUGGGCAUAUAAUUUAAAAAACUCAUACUCACUUUACAUUAUUCUGUAGCUAGUAACAUCAUGAGAUGCUUUAAAGUCAGAAAUAUUGUACUAUUUAUAAAUACUCUGAAUAGGAAAGGAAUUAGCUGUAAAUUUUAUUCUCAAAAUUGAUCAAUAAGGAGGAAAAUACUGGUUAAGCAGACAAGAAUGUACCAAAACCAGGGUAUUACUCAUAUAUACAGAAGAUAUGAACAGUAUAGAUUUAUUUCUAGUUGAUUCAAUCCAAUUUACACAUUUAAAAUACAAAAUUACAUUUCAAUCUGUCAAGAAGCUGACCACAUUUAGCAUCAGUAGAGGAACUUGACUUGAGCUUCUGAUCAUGACCUCAAUAUCCUGGAAUAGGAAAAGGAAUUUCAUGGAAUCUAGAUGCAUUUAUCAACACCAAUUAAUAAAAAUUAAUUCUGAAAAGUAAUUCCUGAAUUUCAUCUAUUCACAAAUGAGUCAAAGGCAUUAGGACCUUAACACUUGGUAUUACUUGAUGUUGUGAACUACUCUCCUACAGUGGUUUGUUUUCAUCUCCUCCAAGGAUUGUUGCAGUUGCUGAACUAAAUGAAGUAGGGUGGCUGAGUCUGUCUGCAGAACUUUGGUGUUGCGGUCUCCAUUCUGAUUUGGGUGUAGUUUUAUAGUCACUGCUGGCUUAAUCUGUUGCCUGAGACUUCUGCUUGCCAGCUGUACAUCUAGUCACCACUCAAGGCUGUGGUAACUGGGAAGGCUGGGUGCCAAUUCACCCAGAAUAGUCCUGAUCUCUUUUCUGUUGUCCAGGUAAAGCUGAAGCAAUAAUUUGUUCAAUUCUUCAGAGAAUCCCAGAACAAA